GACGGAGGGGACAAGUGUUACUCGUCAUAACUGGGCGUAAAGGGUUCGUAGGCGGCUUGGUUAAUCGUUUGAUAAAUCAUCAAGUUAUUCGAUAUUGCCAAGCUUGAGUUAUGGGGAAGGUUGAAGUACUCCUAGUGGAGAGGUGAAAUUCUAAGAUACUAGCGGGGACUAUCAGUCGGCGAAAGCAUCAACCUAAACAUAUUACUGACGCUGAGGAACGAAAGCGCGGGGAGCAAACGGG
RNAcentral lists this ribosomal RNA (241 nucleotides) under uncultured bacterium. RNAcentral describes it as "partial 16S ribosomal RNA". It matches the Rfam family "Bacterial small subunit ribosomal RNA", at positions 524 to 776 of the family's 1533-position model. The record is from RNAcentral.